RNAcentral lists this ribosomal RNA (250 nucleotides) under uncultured bacterium. Its description in RNAcentral is "partial 16S ribosomal RNA". It matches the Rfam family "Bacterial small subunit ribosomal RNA", at positions 524 to 773 of the family's 1533-position model. The record is from RNAcentral.
UACGUAGGGUGCAGGCGUUAAUCGGAAUUACUGGGCGUAAAGUGUGCGCAGGCGGCGCUGCAAGUCGAGUGUGAAAUCCCCGAGCUUAACUUGGGAAUUGCGCUCGAAACUACGGCGCUGGAGUAUGGCAGAGGAAGGUGGAAUUCCACGUGUAGCGGUGAAAUGCGUAGAGAUGUGGAGGAACACCGAUGGCGAAGGCAGCCUUCUGGGCCAAUACUGACGCUCAUGCACGAAAGCGUGGGGAGCAAAC